UACAGAGGGUGCGAGCGUUAAUCGGAAUUACUGGGCGUAAAGCGCGCGUAGGCGGUUUUGCAAGUCGGAUGUGAAAUCCCCAGGCUUAACCUGGGAACUGCAUUCGAUACUGCGGGUCUCGAGUCCGGGAGAGGUGAGUGGAAUUCCUAGUGUAGAGGUGAAAUUCGUAGAUAUUAGGAAGAACACCAGUGGCGAAGGCGGCUCACUGGCCCGGUACUGACGCUGAGGCGCGAAAGCGUGGGGAGCAAACAGG
RNAcentral lists this ribosomal RNA (253 nucleotides) under uncultured bacterium. RNAcentral describes it as "partial 16S ribosomal RNA". It matches the Rfam family "Bacterial small subunit ribosomal RNA", at positions 524 to 776 of the family's 1533-position model. The record is from RNAcentral.